RNAcentral lists this long non-coding RNA (1312 nucleotides) under Bos indicus x Bos taurus (hybrid cattle). RNAcentral describes it as "lncRNA (ENSBIXG00005003113.1)". Lineage: Eukaryota; Metazoa; Chordata; Mammalia; Artiodactyla; Bovidae. The record is from RNAcentral.
AAAUGUGAAAUUUGAGUUAUGCUCAGACUGUUCCCUAGUAUAUCAAUGGUAUUAAAAUAAAUUGGUGUUGUCAAAACAAAUGUUAUAGCAAAAUUAACUGUGGUCUGACAAACACAUUCCAUAGAAGGCAUGAUCAGGUGGCAGAGAUCCAUGAACUUUUAUCUACAGUUUUGAAAUCUUUAAAACUCUGAGAACUAAAGGGAAGUUUUAUUUUAUUUUAUUUUUUGGUUGCUUUGCUUGUUUUUGUAACUCAGCUUAGGGUAAAAGUUAAUUUAACUUAGCUUCAUUUGUCACCUGGCUUAAACUGAUACGAGACUAUUUUCUUUAUUUGUAUUGCUCAGUAUAAAUAUUUAUACAUUUUGUUGCAGAAGUAUUUUUGUAUCUGGCAAUUAGAUAUUAUCUCAGACCCCGAUGGAGACUUAAAUAAUAUAUGGAAUAAGCAGGCUUCUAAUAUCCUCCAAAUUCUUUUUUUUUUGGUUUGUUUUUGUUUUUUGACUGCAUGUCCUGCGUCCUGCGGGAUCUUAGUUCCUGACCGGAAGUCAGACUCGAGCCCUCUGCAGUGGUAGCGCAGUGUCCUAAACACUGGACUGCCAGGGAAUUCCAGUACCUCCCAAAUUUUGGAUUUGCAAACACAUAUGGACCCAAGACUGUGGAUCUGCAAGUACCAAAAAGUCCACAGGAACAUCAUAACUGCAUUCUCCUGGGCAUUUUCCUGUGAUCACCGAGCCAGAGGGGAGUACAUCUCUAUGACGUCAAGACUUUUAGAGCGCCUCGCGGCCCCCUCCCAGCUACUCACACACGCCGCCCCCCCGGGGCCGCGAGCUUCCAGGCAAGGGGGCCGCGCGCGAGCAUCCCCGGCAGGCGCGAGCAGAGAGGAGGGAGGCGGGGAGGCCGACACCCGCCCAGCCAACCACCUUCCGCGAGGCGCCCGGCAGCCCGGCAGCCCGUCUCUCUUUUUUUUUAAAGAACAGACUACCUGAAACUAUAAUUGCACUUAUAAAUUUCUUAAGGACAUACACUUCCAACUCUGUUUUCUCAUCAAGAAAAUGGAGAAACUCAUAGAAUUCCUUUCUUAUGGGGUUGCUGUGAGAAGAUAAACGACUCAGGGCUGAGGAGGGCUUUGCACACACAGGUGUUCAGUAAGCACUUGUGAUGAUUAUGAUCAACUUGCUAUGUAUUUGCUGUUAUGGAAACAUAGCAUUUGAGGUCAUUUAUUUUGUAAUUUCUAUAUUUUCAAAUAUGUUUAUAUUACUAAACUUAACAUACUCACUGCUGAAAAAAAAUGGAAAAUAAAGAAAAUACCAACUGCUCA